UUCCCCCUAGGGACUGAGCUGCAGCAGGAUCAAGGGACCCAUUGUCCCCCACCAGGGUGCUCCGGCCCUCAGGAACCCCUUGGAUCAACAGAAGAGACAGGUGUCCCAGGUGAAAAGGGCCCCAUUUGUCUGCCUGGCUGUGAUAGGGUGCAGAGUCGUGUGUGAUUUCCCGGUCCUGCUGGGCCUCCAGGUGUGGCUGGAGAAGACGGAGACCAAAAGAAGAACCCCAGAGAACCCAGCCAAUCUUCUCUCCACAUGAGAGGGGCGAGGGCUCUCCUGGACCCCCUCGACUCAUUGGUCUGUGGAACAGCCUGGAGCAGUGGGAGCAGACUGGGAGCCCGGAGCUCAGGGACCCCAGGGACACUUUGGAGCCAGAGUGUGGGGAACCAAAGGCAAUAAAGGAACAAGAGGAUUCACAGACCUACAGCUCUGGUGUAUCUGUUCCCUCCGCAAGGACUACCUGGACCCAGUGGCACUGAUGGUCCCCUGACAGGUAUUGGGGACCUGGGUCCUCCUGGAGAGAAGGUAAUUGGGAAAGGGGUGAAGGGGAUGAAGGG
RNAcentral lists this long non-coding RNA (557 nucleotides) under Piliocolobus tephrosceles (Ugandan red Colobus). RNAcentral describes it as "lncRNA (ENSPTEG00000011436.1)". The record is from RNAcentral. Lineage: Eukaryota; Metazoa; Chordata; Mammalia; Primates; Cercopithecidae.